Molecule: ribosomal RNA, 1050 nt
Filed under: Staphylococcus aureus
Lineage: Bacteria; Bacillati; Bacillota; Bacilli; Caryophanales; Staphylococcaceae
Description: bacterial SSU rRNA
Rfam family: Bacterial small subunit ribosomal RNA
Source: RNAcentral
GGGUGAGUAACACGUGGAUAACCUACCUAUAAGACUGGGAUAACUUCGGGAAACCGGAGCUAAUACCGGAUAAUAUUUUGAACCGCAUGGUUCAAAAGUGAAAGACGGUCUUGCUGUCACUUAUAGAUGGAUCCGCGCUGCAUUAGCUAGUUGGUAAGGUAACGGCUUACCAAGGCAACGAUGCAUAGCCGACCUGAGAGGGUGAUCGGCCACACUGGAACUGAGACACGGUCCAGACUCCUACGGGAGGCAGCAGUAGGGAAUCUUCCGCAAUGGGCGAAAGCCUGACGGAGCAACGCCGCGUGAGUGAUGAAGGUCUUCGGAUCGUAAAACUCUGUUAUUAGGGAAGAACAUAUGUGUAAGUAACUGUGCACAUCUUGACGGUACCUAAUCAGAAAGCCACGGCUAACUACGUGCCAGCAGCCGCGGUAAUACGUAGGUGGCAAGCGUUAUCCGGAAUUAUUGGGCGUAAAGCGCGCGUAGGCGGUUUUUUAAGUCUGAUGUGAAAGCCCACGGCUCAACCGUGGAGGGUCAUUGGAAACUGGAAAACUUGAGUGCAGAAGAGGAAAGUGGAAUUCCAUGUGUAGCGGUGAAAUGCGCAGAGAUAUGGAGGAACACCAGUGGCGAAGGCGACUUUCUGGUCUGUAACUGACGCUGAUGUGCGAAAGCGUGGGGAUCAAACAGGAUUAGAUACCCUGGUAGUCCACGCCGUAAACGAUGAGUGCUAAGUGUUAGGGGGUUUCCGCCCCUUAGUGCUGCAGCUAACGCAUUAAGCACUCCGCCUGGGGAGUACGACCGCAAGGUUGAAACUCAAAGGAAUUGACGGGGACCCGCACAAGCGGUGGAGCAUGUGGUUUAAUUCGAAGCAACGCGAAGAACCUUACCAAAUCUUGACAUCCUUUGACAACUCUAGAGAUAGAGCUUUCCCCUUCGGGGGACAAAGUGACAGGUGGUGCAUGGUUGUCGUCAGCUCGUGUCGUGAGAUGUUGGGUUAAGUCCCGCAACGAGCGCAACCCUUAAGCUUAGUUGCCAUCAUUAAGUUGGGCACUC